AGUGAACGCUGGCGGUAGGCCUAACACAUGCAAGUCGAACGGCAGCACAGUAAGUGCUUGCUCUUACGGGUUGCGAGUGGCGGACGGGUGAGGAAUAUAUCGGAAUCUACUUUUUCGUGGAGGAUAACGUAGGGAAACUUACGCUAAUAUCGCAUACGACGUACGGGUGAAAGCAGGGGAUCUUCGGACCUUGCGCGAUUGAAUGAGCCGAUGUCGGAUUAGCUUGUUGGCGGGGUAAAGGCCCACCAAGGCGACGAUCCGUAGCUGGACUGAGAGGAUGAUCAGCCACACUGGAAGUGAGACACGGUCCAGACUCCUACGGGAGGCAGCAGUGGGGAAUAGUGGACAAUGGGCGCAAGCCUGAUCCAGCCAUACCGAGUGGGUGAAGAAGGCCUUCGGGUUGUAAAGCCCUUUUGUUGGGAAAGAAAAGCAGCAGGUUAAUACCCCGCUGUUCUGACGGUACCCAAAGAAUAAGCACCGGCUAACUUCGUG
RNAcentral lists this ribosomal RNA (492 nucleotides) under uncultured bacterium. RNAcentral describes it as "partial 16S ribosomal RNA". It matches the Rfam family "Bacterial small subunit ribosomal RNA", at positions 29 to 507 of the family's 1533-position model. The record is from RNAcentral.